Molecule: ribosomal RNA, 726 nt
Filed under: Alcanivorax jadensis
Lineage: Bacteria; Pseudomonadati; Pseudomonadota; Gammaproteobacteria; Oceanospirillales; Alcanivoracaceae
Description: bacterial SSU rRNA
Rfam family: Bacterial small subunit ribosomal RNA
Source: RNAcentral
GUUCGAGCGGAAACGAUGGUAGCUUGCUACCAGGCGUCGAGCGGCGGACGGGUGAGUAACGCGUGAGAAUCUGCCCAUUUGUGGGGGAUAACUCGGGGAAACUCGAGCUAAUACCGCAUAAUCCCUACGGGGGAAAGCAGGGGACCUUCGGGCCUUGUGCAGAUGGAUGAGCUCGCGUCGGAUUAGCUUGUUGGUGAGGUAAAGGCUCACCAAGGCGACGAUCCGUAGCUGGUCUGAGAGGAUGAUCAGCCACACCGGGACUGAGACACGGCCCGGACUCCUACGGGAGGCAGCAGUGGGGAAUCUUGGACAAUGGGGGCAACCCUGAUCCAGCCAUGCCGCGUGUGUGAAGAAGGCCUUCGGGUUGUAAAGCACUUUCAGUAGGGAGGAAGGCUUACCGCUAAUAACGGUGAGUACUUGACGUUACCUACAGAAGAAGCACCGGCUAAUUUCGUGCCAGCAGCCGCGGUAAUACGAAAGGUGCGAGCGUUAAUCGGAAUUACUGGGCGUAAAGCGCGCGUAGGCGGUUUGUUAAGUCAGAUGUGAAAGCCCCGGGCUCAACCUGGGAAUUGCAUUUGAAACUGGCAGGCUAGAGUGCAGUAGAGGGAGGUGGAAUUUCCGGUGUAGCGGUGAAAUGCGUAGAGAUCGGAAGGAACACCAGUGGCGAAGGCGGCCUCCUGGACUGACACUGACGCUGAGGUGCGAAAGCGUGGGGAGCAAACAGGA